Molecule: ribosomal RNA, 460 nt
Filed under: uncultured bacterium
Lineage: Bacteria
Description: partial 16S ribosomal RNA
Rfam family: Bacterial small subunit ribosomal RNA
Source: RNAcentral
CCUACGGGGUGCAGCAGUGAGGAAUAUUGGUCAAUGGACGAGCGUCUGAACCAGCCCAGUAGCGUGAAGGAUGACUGCCCUAUGGGUUGUAAACUUCUUUUAUAAAGGUAUAAAACGAGGCACGUGUUCCUUUUUGCAUGUACUUUAUGAAUAAGGAUCUGCUAACUCCUUGCCAGCAGCCUCGGUAAUACUGAGGAUCCGAGCGUUCUCCGGAUUUCUUGGGUUUAAAGGGAGCGUAGAUGGGUUGAUAAGUCAGUUGUGAAAGUUUGCGGCUCAACCGUAAAAUUGCAAUUGAUACUGGCCGUCUAGAGUACAGUUGAGGUAGGCGGAAUUCGUGGUGUAGCGGUGAAAUGCUUAGAUAUCACGAAGAAACCCGAUUGCGAAGGCAGCUUACUAAACUGUGACUGACAUUGAUGCUCGAAAGUGUGGGUAUCAAACAGGAUUAGAUACCCUGGUAGUC